CCCUAGUCCCACCAUCCCUCCACCCACCCCACAUGAGUCCCCUAGUCCCACCAUCCCUCCACCCACCCCACAUGCCUGUCCUGGGUCUGACAUUCGUCCACCCACCCCACGGUCAUUUCCUGAGCUAUCACCUAUUCCAUCAUUUGACCUGGGUCUUGAUCAAACCCCUCCUGACUUGCAACAGGACCCACCUUCCCACAGUACAUCCACUGGCCCUUCUUCAGCCAUCGACCCACCCCAUGUUCAGCCUGAGCAGCCUGUUGGGUUAGCUGCAGCGGCAGAAGGUCGGCCAAAACGCAUAUCUAAGGCACCUCCUUGUGGGACAGGGGGGCACAAACAUGGACACAACGCUGGGCCGGAGGCAUCUGACGAAGGACAUGCAAGACCUCCUCCUUAUUAUACGAGAAAGCGUAAGGUUCAAAAAAGGUGAAAGGUACAGUUGGGACAUUAGCUGGAGGUAGAUAUUCAUGUGUUUGUGAAUGAUACAAUUCUUGUUGCUGUUAUCUUCGAGUAGCUACAAACUUGUUGCAUCAAUGAUUCUUUGUUGACAAUAUUCUUCUUGUUUCCUCAGCUCUUAUAUUUAUUUAUAGUUUCUCCAUUUC
Molecule: long non-coding RNA, 602 nt
Organism: Quercus lobata
Lineage: Eukaryota; Viridiplantae; Streptophyta; Magnoliopsida; Fagales; Fagaceae
Exons: 3
Source: RefSeq, a predicted model, not a curated record